Molecule: microRNA, 22 nt
Filed under: Callithrix jacchus (white-tufted-ear marmoset)
Lineage: Eukaryota; Metazoa; Chordata; Mammalia; Primates; Cebidae
Description: cja-miR-519a
Gene: cja-miR-519a
Source: miRBase by way of RNAcentral
AAAGUGCAUCCUUGUACAGGGU